RNAcentral lists this ribosomal RNA (420 nucleotides) under Triticum aestivum (bread wheat). RNAcentral describes it as "partial small subunit ribosomal RNA". Lineage: Eukaryota; Viridiplantae; Streptophyta; Magnoliopsida; Poales; Poaceae. The record is from RNAcentral.
AGAUCACAGGACGACGACCCGCCUUCCGACACGGCCGCGCGAGCCUUCACUGCGAGCUCCUGCGCUCGGCACCUCGCCGUCUCCCCCGUUCCACCUGGUUCCAAGAACCUCGCCACCGCCCGCGCCACCGCCUCGGCCGGCACCAUCUCCUUCCCCUCCUCCUUCGUGCUCCGCGCCCCACCCCACACCUUCUCGCCGAUAUUGAGAACGUCCGUGACCAGCCUCUCCUCGAUGAACUGGUCGAACACCAGCGGCCACGUCAGCAUCGGCGUGCGGGCCACGGCCGCCUCCAGCAGCGAGCUCGACCCACAGUGCGUCAGGAACGCCCCCACGGCCGGAUGAGCCAGGAUCGCGGUCUGCGGGGCCCACGCUCUGACGAGCAUCCCCUUUUUCCCGACACGCUCCUCCCAUCCCGCCGGC